RNAcentral lists this ribosomal RNA (631 nucleotides) under uncultured Pseudomonas sp. RNAcentral's name for it is "bacterial SSU rRNA". It matches the Rfam family "Bacterial small subunit ribosomal RNA", at positions 58 to 684 of the family's 1533-position model. The record is from RNAcentral. Lineage: Bacteria; Pseudomonadati; Pseudomonadota; Gammaproteobacteria; Pseudomonadales; Pseudomonadaceae.
CAAGUCGAGCGGAUGACGGGAGCUUGCUCCUUGAUUCAGCGGCGGACGGGUGAGUAAUGCCUAGGAAUCUGCCUGGUAGUGGGGGACAACGUUUCGAAAGGAACGCUAAUACCGCAUACGUCCUACGGGAGAAAGCAGGGGACCUUCGGGCCUUGCGCUAUCAGAUGAGCCUAGGUCGGAUUAGCUAGUUGGUGGGGUAAUGGCUCACCAAGGCGACGAUCCGUAACUGGUCUGAGAGGAUGAUCAGUCACACUGGAACUGAGACACGGUCCAGACUCCUACGGGAGGCAGCAGUGGGGAAUAUUGGACAAUGGGCGAAAGCCUGAUCCAGCCAUGCCGCGUGUGUGAAGAAGGUCUUCGGAUUGUAAAGCACUUUAAGUUGGGAGGAAGGGCAGUAAGCUAAUACCUUGCUGUUUUGACGUUACCGACAGAAUAAGCACCGGCUAACUCUGUGCCAGCAGCCGCGGUAAUACAGAGGGUGCAAGCGUUAAUCGGAAUUACUGGGCGUAAAGCGCGCGUAGGUGGUUUGUUAAGUUGGAUGUGAAAGCCCCGGGCUCAACCUGGGAACUGCAUCCAAAACUGGCAAGCUAGAGUACGGUAGAGGGUGGUGGAAUUUCCUGUGUAGCGGUGA